RNAcentral lists this ribosomal RNA (519 nucleotides) under uncultured Flavobacteriia bacterium. RNAcentral describes it as "bacterial SSU rRNA". It matches the Rfam family "Bacterial small subunit ribosomal RNA", at positions 337 to 916 of the family's 1533-position model. Lineage: Bacteria; Pseudomonadati; Bacteroidota; Flavobacteriia. The record is from RNAcentral.
UCCUACGGGAGGCAGCAGUAAGGAAUAUUGGUCAAUGGACGCAAGUCUGAACCAGCUUGUAAACUUCUUUUAUCUGGGACGAAAACACUUGACGGUACCAGAGGAAUAAGCACCGGCUAACUCCGUGCCAGCAGCCGCGGUAAUACGGAGGGUGCAAGCGUUAUCCGGAUUUACUGGGUUUAAAGGGUGCGUAGGUGGGCAGGUAAGUCAGCGGUGAAAUCUCCGAGCUUAACUCGGAAACUGCCAUUGAUACUAUCUGUCUUGAAUAUCCUGGAGGUGAGCGGAAUAUGUCAUGUAGCGGUGAAAUGCUUAGAUAUGACAUAGAACACCAAUUGCGAAGGCAGCUCACUACGGGGUGCACGAAAGCGUGGGGAUCAAACAGGAUUAGAUACCCUGGUAGUCCACGCCCUAAACGAUGGAUACUCGACAUACGCGAUACACUGUGUGUGUCUGAGCGAAAGCAUUAAGUAUCCCACCUGGGAAGUACGAUCGCAAGAUGAAACUCAAAGGAAUUGACGG